UCCAGUCCGCAAGAGGAACUUUUUUCGA
RNAcentral lists this small RNA (28 nucleotides) under Bombyx mori (domestic silkworm). RNAcentral's name for it is "ovarian small RNA-26874". The record is from RNAcentral. Lineage: Eukaryota; Metazoa; Arthropoda; Insecta; Lepidoptera; Bombycidae.